Coturnix japonica (Japanese quail) is the source of this 701-nucleotide long non-coding RNA. RefSeq lists it as uncharacterized. Lineage: Eukaryota; Metazoa; Chordata; Aves; Galliformes; Phasianidae. The record is from RefSeq and is a predicted model, not a curated record.
UGCACGCGCAGUGCAGGGUCGAUCCAGGCGCAUGCGCAUUGCUCCAACUGCCGCUUGAAAGCUGUGGAUGUGCUCGUAUUCCCACAGGGACUGUGUUCCAGCGUGAUAUGUUGGCCUCAUCUCAAGGCAGAAUAGCACCCAGCCUUUAUAGUAACUGGGAUUGUGUGCUUCUUACCUAGUGGUAGUAGCUUGGAAUUGUACUACAAGAAGAAUUUUACAGAGCAGCAGCUAUGGAUCAAGAUUCACAGAGCAGCAGCUGCGGAGCAGGAUAAAAAGCAAGAGAACCAAUUGAACAAAUGAACUGAAUUGCUUGCAAAAUAUGAUUGGUCGGCUGUUAAAUCAAGCUUUUUCGGCCAACUUAGUUAUCCAAAAAGAAAAUGGGGGAAGUGCGGAGAGUCUUAUUGACAACUGGCUAGCUGUAAAGGGUCACGUAGACACCGUGCAGCUGACCAAGCAGCUGUGCCAUCUGCAAGGACAACAAGAACAAAGGGAUGUGUGAUGGUGGUGAGAAGUUGGCCAUGAUUUUGGGAAUUCAGCAAGGGAGAAGCUAUCAGGACGAUAACUACAAGUUACAAAGAUAGUUGGGAUGAUAUGUAAUCGGGAACCAAUGAUGAGCUCUGCUUUUGCACUAUGUAUGAGCUAAUUAUCUGCACUAUAAAUGUACAUGUAGCCAAAGCAAUAAACGAGAUUUGAUGAUCAUA